UACAGAGGGUGCGAGCGUUAAUCGGAAUUACUGGGCGUAAAGCGUGCGUAGACGGUUAUUUAAGUCGGAUGUGAAAGCCCCGGGCUCAACCUGGGAAUUGCAUUCGAGACUGAAUAGCUAGGGUACGGUAGAGGGAAGCGGAAUUUCCGGUGUAGCGGUGAAAUGCGUAGAUAUCGGAAGGAACAUCAGUGGCGAAAGCGGCUUCCUGGACUAACACUGACGCUCAUGCACGAAAGCGUGGGGAGCAAACAGG
RNAcentral lists this ribosomal RNA (253 nucleotides) under uncultured bacterium. Its description in RNAcentral is "partial 16S ribosomal RNA". It matches the Rfam family "Bacterial small subunit ribosomal RNA", at positions 524 to 776 of the family's 1533-position model. The record is from RNAcentral.